CUACGGGGGGCUGCAGUGGGGAAUAUUGGACAAUGGGCGAAAGCCUGAUCCAGCCAUGCCGCGUGAGUGAUGAAGGCCUUAGGGUUGUAAAGCUCUUUUACCAGGGAAGAUAAUGACUGUACCUGGAGAAUAAGCCCCGGCUAACUUCGUGCCAGCAGCCGCGGUAAUACGAAGGGGGCUAGCGUUGUUCGGAAUCACUGGGCGUAAAGCGCACGUAGGCGGAUUCUUAAGUCAGGGGUGAAAGCCUGAGGCUCAACCUCAGAACUGCCUUUGAUACUGGGAAUCUUGAGUAUGGUAGAGGUCGGUGGAACAGCAAGUGUAGAGGUGAAAUUCGUAGAUAUUUGCUAGAACACCAGUGGCGAAGGCGGCCGACUGGACCAUAACUGACGCUGAGGUGCGAAAGCGUGGGGAGCAAACAGGAUUAGAUACCCUCGUAGUC
RNAcentral lists this ribosomal RNA (439 nucleotides) under uncultured bacterium. RNAcentral's name for it is "partial 16S ribosomal RNA". It matches the Rfam family "Bacterial small subunit ribosomal RNA", at positions 339 to 795 of the family's 1533-position model. The record is from RNAcentral.